This 447-nucleotide ribosomal RNA is filed under the name uncultured Sphingobacteriales bacterium. Its description in RNAcentral is "bacterial SSU rRNA". It matches the Rfam family "Bacterial small subunit ribosomal RNA", at positions 936 to 1382 of the family's 1533-position model. The record is from RNAcentral. Lineage: Bacteria; Pseudomonadati; Bacteroidota; Sphingobacteriia; Sphingobacteriales.
AGCAUGUGGUUUAAUUCGAUGAUACGCGAGGAACCGUUACCUGGGCUCGAACGUAAGAUGACUGUAGGUGAAAGCUUACAUCUCUUCGGAGCAUUUUACGAGGUGCUGCAUGGUUGUCGUCAGCUCGUGCCGUGAGGUGUCGGGUUAAGUCCCAUAACGAGCGCAACCCCUACCUUUAGUUGCCAUCAGGUAAUGCCGGGGACUCUAAAGGAACUGCCUACGCAAGUAGUGAGGAAGGCGGGGAUGACGUCAAAUCAGCACGGCCCUUACGUCCAGGGCUACACACGUGCUACAAUGGCCGAUACAGAGGGCAGCUACCUGGUGACAGGAUGCAAAUCUCCAAAGUCGGUCUCAGUUCGGAUCGGAGUCUGCAACCCGACUCCGUGAAGUUGGAUUCGCUAGUAAUCGCGCAUCAGCCAUGGCGCGGUGAAUACGUUCCCGGGCCUU